RNAcentral lists this ribosomal RNA (500 nucleotides) under uncultured bacterium. RNAcentral describes it as "partial 16S ribosomal RNA". It matches the Rfam family "Bacterial small subunit ribosomal RNA", at positions 30 to 523 of the family's 1533-position model. The record is from RNAcentral.
AUUGAACGCUGGCGGCAGGCCUAACACAUGCAAGUCGAGCGGAUGAGAGGAGCUUGCUCCUCGAUUCAGCGGCGGACGGGUGAGUAAUGCCUAGGAAUCUGCCCAGUAGUGGGGGACAACGUUUCGAAAGGAACGCUAAUACCGCAUACGUCCUACGGGAGAAAGUGGGGGAUCUUCGGACCUCACGCUAUCGGAUGAGCCUAGGUCGGAUUAGCUAGUUGGUAGGGUAAAGGCCUACCAAGGCGACGAUCCGUAACUGGUCUGAGAGGAUGAUCAGUCACACUGGAACUGAGACACGGUCCAGACUCCUACGGGAGGCAGCAGUGGGGAGUAUUGGACAAUGGGCGCAAGCCUGAUCCAGCCAUGCCGCGUGUGUGAAGAAGGCCCUCGGGUUGUAAAGCACUUUAAGGGGGGAGGAAGGUUCGUUGGCUAAUAUCCAACGGAAUUGACGCUACCCCCAGAAUAAGCACCGGCUAACUCCGUGCCAGCAGCCGCAGUAA